Gossypium raimondii (Peruvian cotton) is the source of this 144-nucleotide non-coding RNA. The record is from Rfam. NCBI's taxonomy places the organism in Eukaryota, Viridiplantae, Streptophyta, Magnoliopsida, Malvales, Malvaceae.
UGUUAAAAUUUUUAUCUAUUUAUACUAUUAAAAACUAGUUUACCUGACAAAAUAAUCAGAUAGUGACACAUGGUGUGCCACGUAUACGUCAUGCUGACAUACAUAGACAAGUUUUAACAGUAAAAAUGGAUGGAAUUUUUAACC